GAUGAACGCUGGCGGCGUGCCUAAUACAUGCAAGUCGAGCGAACAGAUGAGGAGCUUGCUCCUCUGACGUUAGCGGCGGACGGGUGAGUAACACGUGGAUAACCUACCUAUAAGACUGGGAUAACUUCGGGAAACCGGAGCUAAUACCGGAUAAUAUAUUGAACCGCAUGGUUCAAUAGUGAAAGACGGUUUUGCUGUCACUUAUAGAUGGAUCCGCGCCGCAUUAGCUAGUUGGUAAGGUAACGGCUUACCAAGGCAACGAUGCGUAGCCGACCUGAGAGGGUGAUCGGCCACACUGGAACUGAGACACGGUCCAGACUCCUACGGGAGGCAGCAGUAGGGAAUCUUCCGCAAUGGGCGAAAGCCUGACGGAGCAACGCAGCGUGAGUGAUGAAGGUAUUCGGAUCGUAAAACUCUGUUAUUAGGGAAGAACAAAUGUGUAAGUAACUAUGCACGUCUUGACGGUACCUAAUCAGAAAGCCACGGCUAACUACGUG
Molecule: ribosomal RNA, 497 nt
Filed under: uncultured bacterium
Lineage: Bacteria
Description: partial 16S ribosomal RNA
Rfam family: Bacterial small subunit ribosomal RNA
Source: RNAcentral